This 762-nucleotide long non-coding RNA is filed under the name Homo sapiens (human). RNAcentral's name for it is "HSALNT0362913". Lineage: Eukaryota; Metazoa; Chordata; Mammalia; Primates; Hominidae. The record is from RNAcentral.
CUGUGGAAAUGGACAAAUUUAUUUGUGAAAUGGGUUAACUGGUUGUGCUUGGGAAUUUCUCUUUAUAUGAAAGGUUGGUCUAUUUAUGUUCAUCUAGUUUCCUUCUCAAAAUUUUCUCUCGCACUUCUGAAUUUUCUGGAGUAACUCUCAGUCAUAUGUCCUUGACUUCUUUUUUAUUUUCUUUUCCUUAAUUUCUGGCCUAUGAAGAACUCACAAUGUUUAAGCAUUCCUUGUUCUGAGGCUUACUGCUCCAUCCCUUCUCAUAAUCAAUUGCAUUUUUUUAAUUAAAAAAUUUUUUUAGAGAUUGAGUCUCACUAUAUUGCCCAGGCUGGCCUCCAUCUCUUGAACUCAAGCAAUUCCCUGGCCUCAGCCUCCCAAGUAGCUGGGACUACAAUCACACACCACUAUGCCUGGCUUACUUGCAUAUUUUUAAUCAUGUUUCCAAUCACCUUUUCUUUUCUUUCUCUCUCCACCCAAUACAUACAUUUCCAUCUCAAAUGUAGUAGGAUAUCAAAACUUUGGCUUGCUGAUUACAUGAUUAAAUUUUAAAGAAUGGAAUAAGCUCCUAGGUAAAAUGGCGAAAGAGUUCCCGAUUUUUUCAUGCUCAUUCAGAGCUGUUAAUUUUUCUAAAUUCUCCAGCCCUCAGAUGUAGGGCUUUAUCAAGAAAUGAGUUGUGAAUUGGCUGGAGAUAGCAAUACUUUAUAAACCAAGAGGGAAUACUUUAUAAACCAAGAAGGACUGGUGUUCUAGCAAUCUACUCAC